This 253-nucleotide ribosomal RNA is filed under the name uncultured bacterium. RNAcentral's name for it is "partial 16S ribosomal RNA". It matches the Rfam family "Bacterial small subunit ribosomal RNA", at positions 524 to 776 of the family's 1533-position model. The record is from RNAcentral.
UACGGGGGGCGCAAUCGUUGUUCGGAAUUACUGGGCGUAAAGGGCGCGUAGGCGGGUGGACAAGUCUCUCGUGAAAGCCCACGGCUCAACCGUGGAAUUGCGGGAGAUACUGUCUGUCUUGAGUCCGGGAGAGGAGGGUGGAAUUCCCAGUGUAGCGGUGAAAUGCGUAGAUAUUGGGAGGAACACCGGUGGCGAAGGCGGCUCUCUGGACCGGUACUGACGCUGAGGCGCGAAAGCUAGGGGAGAUAACGGG